UCCUUCAUAGCUAAGUCAGUAAAGAAUCUGCCUGUAAUGCAGGAGGCCUGGGUUUGAUCCCUGGGGUGGGAA
Bos taurus (domestic cattle) is the source of this 72-nucleotide non-coding RNA. Lineage: Eukaryota; Metazoa; Chordata; Mammalia; Artiodactyla; Bovidae. The record is from Rfam.